RNAcentral lists this ribosomal RNA (482 nucleotides) under uncultured bacterium. Its description in RNAcentral is "bacterial SSU rRNA". It matches the Rfam family "Bacterial small subunit ribosomal RNA", at positions 30 to 507 of the family's 1533-position model. The record is from RNAcentral.
AUUGAACGCUGGCGGCAUGCCUUACACAUGCAAGUCGAACGGUAACGGGCCUUCGGGUGCCGACGAGUGGCGAACGGGUGAGUAAUGCAUCGGAACGUACCUUUCAGUGGGGGAUAACGUAGCGAAAGUUACGCUAAUACCGCAUAUUCUGUGAGCAGGAAAGCAGGGGAUCGCAAGACCUUGCGCUGAUUGAGCGGCCGAUGUCAGAUUAGCUAGUUGGUGAGGUAAAGGCUCACCAAGGCGACGAUCUGUAGCGGGUCUGAGAGGAUGAUCCGCCACACUGGAACUGAGACACGGUCCAGACUCCUACGGGAGGCAGCAGUGGGGAAUAUUGGACAAUGGGCGAAAGCCUGAUCCAGCGACGCCGCGUGUCGGAAGGAGUCCUUCGGGAUGUAAACGACUUUUGGUGGAGACGAAUAAGCAGCUCAGGGAAUGGGGCUGUGAUGACGGUAUCCAUGGAAUAAGCCCCGGCUAACUACGUG